UCGAGCAAAGAAUGGAAAAGAAGAAGUAGUGACACAAGUCCGAUUCUGGCACGCGGACAGGAACCCUUGACCGCGCGACCACAGGGACCCUCUCGGUUUUCGUCGGCAGUCGUCCUUCCAAGUCCCCGUAAGCCCUGAAAAGAACGGCCUCGAAAUGGCGUCGGAAAUGUCCGUUGCGGGCUCGGAGAUGUCCGGCGUCGGAUCGGAGAUGUCCGGGGUCUCCGCCGACGCCGGAGGAGGUGGUGAUGCUGCGGCCAAGAAAAAGAAGAUGAUAAUGAUCGGCGUGAUCGCCGUCGUGGUGCUCAUCGUGUUACUUGCGGUCGGUUUCAUUGCCUUCAAGAUGCUGAGCAAGAAAAACAUCAAGGACGACACGGAGCCAACCCAACCAUGGUGAAUCAAUCGCCCCGAUCUCUUCGCCGUUCCACUUGUACAUAACCUGCCCUGUCAGAAGAGACUCCAACGGUGGACUUCUCUUCUCUAACUUCGACUUGUCCAACCAGGAUGACCACGAACCACCAGGCGGCAGGACUCUCUGAGUAAUGGAGUUCUAAUUUUAAGAAAACGGGACGGAACGGUAAAAGUGGUGGCACAACUGCACUUGGACUCUUCCGCGACUUGGUGUCUUCUGUAAUAUAUUUUAGAAGUAAAUCGUGUGUUCUUGC
Long non-coding RNA from Ornithodoros turicata, 662 nucleotides. RefSeq lists it as uncharacterized. Lineage: Eukaryota; Metazoa; Arthropoda; Arachnida; Ixodida; Argasidae. The record is from RefSeq and is a predicted model, not a curated record. The transcript is spliced from 2 exons.